UACGAAGGGGGCUAGCGUUGCUCGGAAUGACUGGGCGUAAAGGGUGCGUAGGCGGAUGGCACAGUCAGAUGUGAAAUUCCCGGGCUUAACCUGGGGGCUGCAUUUGAUACGUGUUGUCUAGAGUGAGGAAGAGGGUUGUGGAAUUCCCAGUGUAGAGGUGAAAUUCGUAGAUAUUGGGAAGAACACCGGUGGCGAAGGCGGCAACCUGGUCCUUGACUGACGCUGAGGCGCGAAAGCGUGGGGAGCAAACAGG
RNAcentral lists this ribosomal RNA (253 nucleotides) under uncultured bacterium. RNAcentral describes it as "partial 16S ribosomal RNA". It matches the Rfam family "Bacterial small subunit ribosomal RNA", at positions 524 to 776 of the family's 1533-position model. The record is from RNAcentral.